UUUAUCCAAAAGAAAUCCACCUUUCAGCAAAAUAAAAGGAAUUAACUCUAACGCAAUAUGACGUUGACCUUGUGUAAAAAUCACAAGAAAUUGGAAACUUGUCACGUUAAGAAAACACUUAAUUGAAGUGCAUGACCGUAGGCGGUAUUUCGUUGGCCCAGGAAAAGGAGCAUUUUGGACACGUGUGCCUGACUUUCCAGUAUCUAUGCAUAAUUGAUUGAAGAAUUGAAGCGAAUGGAGUGACGCCAAUACCGGCUCCUAUCAACACCGCAUGCUGUGCCUGGAAUAUAUGACUGGAAGGUGCUCCAUAUGGACCAUCAAGAUUCAUAAAUUUACCUUCUUGCUCUGGUGCACUGCUAAUAGUGAAUGGAUGCCAUUCAUAUUUUGCAAUCACAGGAAUAUUAACAAAAACAUAAUCUCCAGGAUGAAAAUCAAGAUGAGGUGGUCUUUUAAUGACUAGGUGAGUGACU
Long non-coding RNA from Leptopilina boulardi, 470 nucleotides. RefSeq lists it as uncharacterized. The record is from RefSeq and is a predicted model, not a curated record. The transcript has 3 exons. NCBI's taxonomy places the organism in Eukaryota, Metazoa, Arthropoda, Insecta, Hymenoptera, Figitidae.